UACGAAGGGGGCUAGCGUUGUUCGGAAUUACUGGGCGUAAAGGGCGCGUAGGCGGUCUGAUAAGUUAGGUGUGAAAUUCCCGGGCUUAACCUGGGGGCUGCACUUAAUACUGUUGGGCUUGAAUUCGGGAGAGGAUAGUGGAAUUCCCAGUGUAGAGGUGAAAUUCGUAGAUAUUGGGAAGAACACCAGUGGCGAGGGCGACUAUCUGGACCGACAUUGACGCUGAGGCGCGAAAGCGUGGGGAGCAAACAGG
RNAcentral lists this ribosomal RNA (253 nucleotides) under uncultured bacterium. RNAcentral describes it as "partial 16S ribosomal RNA". It matches the Rfam family "Bacterial small subunit ribosomal RNA", at positions 524 to 776 of the family's 1533-position model. The record is from RNAcentral.